This 738-nucleotide ribosomal RNA is filed under the name Thiotrichales bacterium. RNAcentral describes it as "partial 23S ribosomal RNA". It matches the Rfam family "Bacterial large subunit ribosomal RNA", at positions 2206 to 2925 of the family's 2925-position model. The record is from RNAcentral. Lineage: Bacteria; Pseudomonadati; Pseudomonadota; Gammaproteobacteria; Thiotrichales.
UGGUAUGUUUGAGGUUCUAACCUAGGUCCGUAAUCCGGAUCGGGGACAAUGUAUGGUGGGUAGUUUGACUGGGGCGGGCUCCUCCCAAAGAGUAACGGAGGCGCGCGAAGGGAGGCUCAAGCUGGUCGGAAAUCAGCUGUAGAGUGCAAUGGCAUAAGCCUGCCUGACUGCGAGACUGACAAGUCGAGCAGAGACGAAAGUCGGUCAUAGUGAUCCGGUGGUCCCGCGUGGAAGGGCCAUCGCUCAACGGAUAAAAGGUACGCCGGGGAUAACAGGCUGAUUCCUCCCAAGAGUCCACAUCGACGGAGGAGUUUGGCACCUCGAUGUCGGCUCAUCACAUCCUGGGGCUGUAGCAGGUCCCAAGGGUACGGCUGUUCGCCGUUUAAAGUGGUACGCGAGCUGGGUUUAGAACGUCGUGAGACAGUUCGGUCCCUAUCUGCCGUGGGCGUUGGAGAUUUGAGGGGAGCUGCUUCUAGUACGAGAGGACCGAAGUGGACAUUCCUCUGGUGUUCCGGUUAUCAUGCCAAUGGUAUUGCCGGGUAGCUAUGAAUGGAAGGGAUAACCGCUGAAAGCAUCUAAGCGGGAAGCCUCACCCAAGAUAAGAUCUCCCUAGACUCUAGAAGUCUCUAAAGGUCCGUCGAAGACUACGACGUUGAUAGGUUCGGUGUGGAAGUGCAGCAAUGCAUGAAGCUAACGAAUACUAAUUAACCGUGAGACUUGAUCAUAUAACACCCAAGC